AUCCAGCUGACGAGUCCCAAAUAGGACGAAGUGAUGGGCGUCCUGGAU
Non-coding RNA from Schistosoma mansoni, 48 nucleotides. Lineage: Eukaryota; Metazoa; Platyhelminthes; Trematoda; Strigeidida; Schistosomatidae. The record is from Rfam.